AUUGAACGCUGGCGGCAUGCCUUACACAUGCAAGUCGAACGGCAGCACGGGAGCUUGCUCCUGGUGGCGAGUGGCGAACGGGUGAGUAAUACAUCGGAACGUACCCUGAAGUGGGGGAUAACGUAGCGAAAGUUACGCUAAUACCGCAUAUUCUGUGAGCAGGGAAGAGGGGGAUCGCAAGACCUCUUGCUUUAGGAGCGGCCGAUGUCGGAUUAGCUAGUUGGUGAGGUAAAGGCUCACCAAGGCGACGAUCCGUAGCGGGUCUGAGAGGAUGAUCCGCCACACUGGGACUGAGACACGGCCCAGACUCCUACGGGAGGCAGCAGUGGGGAAUUUUGGACAAUGGGCGCAAGCCUGAUCCAGCCAUGCCGCGUGAGUGAAGAAGGCCUUCGGGUU
This 396-nucleotide ribosomal RNA is filed under the name uncultured bacterium. RNAcentral describes it as "bacterial SSU rRNA". It matches the Rfam family "Bacterial small subunit ribosomal RNA", at positions 30 to 424 of the family's 1533-position model. The record is from RNAcentral.